GAUGAACGCUGGCGGCGUGCCUAAUACAUGCAAGUCGAGCGAACAGACGAGGAGCUUGCUCCUUCGACGUUAGCGGCGGACGGGUGAGUAAGACGUAGGUAACCUACCUAUAAGACUGGGAUAACUUCGGGAAACCGGAGCUAAUACCGGCUAAUAUUACGAACCGCAUGGUUCGAUAGUGAAAGAUGGCUUUGCUAUCACUUAUAGAUGGACCUGCGUCGUAUUAGCUAGUUGGUAAGGUAACGGCUUACCAAGGCGACGAUACGUAGCCGACCUGAGAGGGUGAUCGGCCACACUGGAACUGAGACACGGUCCAGACUCCUACGGGAGGCAGCAGUAGGGAAUCUUGCGCAAUGGGCGAAAGCCUGACGCAGCAACGCCGCGUGAGUGAUGAAGGUCUUCGGAUUGUAAAGCUCUGUUAUUAGGGAAGAAAAACAGUGGAAGUAACUGUGCACGUCCUGACGGUACCUAAACAGAAAGCCACGGCUAACUACGUG
RNAcentral lists this ribosomal RNA (497 nucleotides) under uncultured bacterium. Its description in RNAcentral is "partial 16S ribosomal RNA". It matches the Rfam family "Bacterial small subunit ribosomal RNA", at positions 28 to 507 of the family's 1533-position model. The record is from RNAcentral.